This 253-nucleotide ribosomal RNA is filed under the name uncultured bacterium. RNAcentral's name for it is "partial 16S ribosomal RNA". It matches the Rfam family "Bacterial small subunit ribosomal RNA", at positions 524 to 776 of the family's 1533-position model. The record is from RNAcentral.
UACGUAGGGGGCAAGCGUUGUCCGGAUUUAUUGGGCGUAAAGAGCGUGUAGGCGGCCAGACAAGUCUGCUGUGAAAACUCGAGGCUCAACCUCGAGCUGUCGGUGGAAACUGUCUGGCUAGAGUCCGGAAGAGGCGAGUGGAACUCCUGGUGUAGCGGUGGAAUGCGCAGAUAUCAGGAAGAACACCAACGGCGAAGGCAGCUCGCUGGGACGGUACUGACGCUGAGACGCGAAAGCGUGGGGAGCGAACAGG